AUGGCGGCUGUUGCUGCAAAGCCAAACGUUUUGGUGGCUUGUGCCUUGCUGCUCCUCGCUGUGGGAUGCCAGGCCAGCCCUUUCUGGCCACUGGAGAUCGGCUACUACCACGACAAGUGCCCCCAGGCGGAGGCCGUCGUCAAGGGCGUCAUGGAGAAGGCCAUCUCCCAGAACCCCGGCAAUGGCGCCGCCAUGAUCCGCAUGCUCUUCCACGACUGUUUCGUCGAGGGCUGUGACGCUUCCGUCCUCCUGGACCCGACUCGGUUCAGCCCCACGCCGGAGAAACUCAGCCCGCCGAACGACCCUACCCUGCGCGGCUUCAAGCUGAUUGACGCCAUCAAGGACGCCCUCGAGGCAGCCUGCCCAGGCGUCGUCUCCUGUGCGGACAUUGUCGCCUUCGCGGUCCGUGACGCGUCCUGCAUCCUCAGCAGGGGCAAGGUAAACUUCCAGAUGCCGUCCGGCCGCCGCGACGGCACCUUCUCCAACGCAUCCGAGCCUCUCAAGUUCCUGGCGCCGCCGACGUCCAACCUCAGCGACCUCGUCGUUAGCUUCGUCAUCAAGGGCCUCAACACGGAGGACCUGGUCGUCCUCUCCGGCGCGCACACCAUCGGGCGUUCCCACUGCUCGUCCUUCGUCUCCGACCGCCUCAACACCCCCUCCGACAUUAACGGAGGCCUGGCCGCGUUCCUGCAGGGGCAGUGCCCGGCCGACGCGACGCCGGGCGAGACGGCGAGAAUGGUGGUGGAGAACGCCAAAAUCCCCGGGUGGUGGGAGGACAGGUUCGAGAAGGCCAUGGUGAAGAUGGCCGGCAUCGAAGUCAAGACCGGCUACCAGGGCCAGAUCAGGAAGAGCUGCCGCGCAAUCAACCACUACUAA
Molecule: ribosomal RNA, 876 nt
Filed under: Triticum aestivum (bread wheat)
Lineage: Eukaryota; Viridiplantae; Streptophyta; Magnoliopsida; Poales; Poaceae
Description: partial small subunit ribosomal RNA
Source: RNAcentral